RNAcentral lists this ribosomal RNA (405 nucleotides) under uncultured bacterium. RNAcentral describes it as "bacterial SSU rRNA". It matches the Rfam family "Bacterial small subunit ribosomal RNA", at positions 355 to 775 of the family's 1533-position model. The record is from RNAcentral.
UCGAGGAUCUUCGUCAAUGGGCGCAAGCCUGAACGAGCGACGCCGCGUGCGCGAUGAAGGCCUUCGGGUUGUAAAGCGCGAAAGAGGGAAGAAAGGGAAACUUGAUCGACCCUCAGUAAGGACGGGCUAAGUUCGUGCCAGCAGCCGCGGUAAGACGAACUGUCCAAACGUUGUUCGGAAUCACUGGGCUUAAAGGGUGCGUAGGCGGUCUGGUAAGUCGGGGGUGAAAUCCUGCAGCUCAACUGCAGAAGUGCCUUCGAUACUGCCAGUCUGGAGGGAGAUAGGGGUGUGCGGAACUUCCAGUGGAGCGGUGAAAUGCGUUGAUAUUGGAAGGAACGCCGGAGGCGAAAGCGGCGCACUGGAUCUCUUCUGACGCUGAGGCACGAAAGCUAGGGGAGCAAACGG